This 107-nucleotide small nuclear RNA is filed under the name Sorex araneus (European shrew). Lineage: Eukaryota; Metazoa; Chordata; Mammalia; Eulipotyphla; Soricidae. The record is from RNAcentral.
GUGCUCGUUUCGGCAGCACAUAUACUAAAAUUGGAACGAUACAGAGAAGAUUAGCAUGGCUCCUGCGCAAGGAUGACACACAAAUUCGUGAAGCGUUCCAUAUUUUU